Molecule: transfer RNA, 74 nt
Filed under: uncultured Thalassiosira
Lineage: Eukaryota; Bacillariophyta; Thalassiosirophyceae; Thalassiosirales; Thalassiosiraceae
Rfam family: tRNA
About the family: Transfer RNA (tRNA) molecules are approximately 80 nucleotides in length. Their secondary structure includes four short double-helical elements and three loops (D, anti-codon, and T loops).
Source: RNAcentral
GUGUGACCGAGUGGUUAAGGCGAUGGAUUGCUAAUCCAUUGCUCCUUGAGCGCGCAAGUUCGGUUCUUGCCACU